GCCAGCAGGAGAAGAUAGAAAGAGAAUUUGGUUCACUUAGCUUUAGGAUAUUAAUUCAUGGAGAGACUAUCGGCUCCAUUGGCAUGUAUUUUAGUUUUGAUUUUAAGUUAUGUUUGGUAAAUUCGCUAGGAAAAGAGAAUUAUAAUUUUGUUGAAAGUAGUUGUUAAAUCUUAAAGACGAUAAGACACUUGACAGAGAAUUGUUACAGGAUAGCCAAGGAUGAAGGCCCCAGGGAGAAUUGGACAUGUGGAAAAUGAAAGGCGGCAUCCUACAAGAGAAGGUCUGACAUAAGGAUCAUUUACUAAUCUUACCAAAGACAUUGUUUAGAAAUGCAGCAAUAUUGAUACAUGGGCUGAGCCAUGUAUCAAUAGGGGGGAAGAAUGGUAGAGCAGGUGAUAGAACAGGUUAGGAUAAUUACUUAAACCUCCAGACUACAGUAGAGACUAUUGAGACUCACCUCUAGACUACAGUAGAGACUAUUGAGACUCACCCCUAGACUAAACCAGACUAUUGAGACUCACCUCUAGACUACACUAGAGAAUAUUGACUAUUUCUUGAAUUGUUUAACACUUUUUUAGUUACUACAUGAUUCCAUAUGUAUUAUUUCAUAGUGUUGAUGUCUUCACUAUUAUUCAACAAUGUAGAAAACGCCCAUGACAUGCUGUUCAGCAUGUACACUGAGCUGCAGACACAGAAGAUCAGAAUCCCUGCUGAGAUGAACACCAACCUCAUGAUCCUCCACUCAUACAUACUGGUUAAGGUAGAACUACACUACCCAGCAUUUUCUACUGCUAUACCAUUACACUACCCAGCAUCCUCUACCACUACACUACCCAGCAUCCUCUACUGCUAUACCAUUACACUACCCAGCAUCCUCUACUGCUAUACCACUACACUACCCAGCAUCCUUUACCGUUAUACCACUACACUACCCAGCAUCCUCUACCGAUAUACCACUACACUACCCAGCAUCCUCUACCGCUAUACAACUACACUACCCAGCAUCCUCUACCACUACACUACCCAGCAUCCUCUACUGCUAUACCUCUACACUACCCAGCAUCCUCUACUGCUCUACCACUACCCAGCAUCCUCAACGGCUAUACCACUACACUACCAAGCAUCCUCUACUGCUCUACGACUACCCAGCAUCCUCUAUUGCAAUACCACUGCACUACCCAGCAUCCUCUACUGCUAUACAACUACACUAGCCAACAUCCCUUACCACUAUAGCACUUCACUACCCAGCAACCUCUACUGCCAUACCACUACACUACCAGGCAUCCUCUACUGCUAUACCACUACACUUCCCAGCAAACUCUACUGCCAUACCACGACACUACCAGGCAUCCUCUACUGCUAUACCGCUACACUUCCCAGCAAACUCUACUGCUCUACCACUACACUACCCAGCAUCCUCUACCGCUAUACCACUACACUACCCAGCAUUCUCUACUGCUCUACCACUACACUACCCAGAAUUCUCUAAUCCUAUACCACUACCCAGCAUCCUCUACUGCUAUACCACUACCCAGAAUCCUCUACUCCUGUACCACUACCCAGCAUCCUCUACUGCUCUACCACUACACUACCCAGCAUCCUCUACUGUUAUACCUUUACCCAGCAUCCUCUACAGCAAUACCACUACCCAGCAUCCUCUACUGCUAUACCACUAUCCAGCAUCCUCUACUGCUAUACCAUUACACUACCCAACAUCCUCUUCUGCUAUAGCUCUACAAUACCCAGCAUCCUCUACUGCUGUCCCACUUCCCAGCAUCCUCUACUACUAUAACACUACCCAGCAAUAUCCACUCAGGUAGAACUACUCUCCUGGGGGCCAGAUGAUGAUACCUGAUGCUGUGAUUAUGGAUUGACUGAUUUAUUGACUGGUUGAUGUAUUGAUUGGUUGAUGGAUUGAUGUAGUGACUAAUUGAUGUAUUGACUGGUUGAUGUAUUGACUGAUUGAUGGAUUGGUUGAUUGAUGUAUUGGAUCGUUGGUGUAUUGGUUGGUUGAUUGAUGUAUUGGUUGAUGUAUUGGUUGGUUGAUGUAUUGGUUGGUUGGUGUAUUGGUUGGUUGACUGAUGUAUUGGCUGAUGUAUUGGUUGGUUGACUGACAUAUUGAUUGAUGUAUUGGUUGAUGUAAAGGUUGCUUGAUUGAUGUAUUUGUUUAUGUAUUGGUUGACUGAUUGAUGUAUUGGUUGAUUGAUGUAUUGGUUAAUGUAUUGGUUGGUUGAUUGACAUAUUGGUUGAUUGAUGUAUUGGUGGGUUAGUUGAUUAUUGAUUGGUUGAUUACUGUAUUGGUUGGUUGAUGUAUUGGUUGGUUGAUGUGUUGAUUGGUUGAUUUAUGUGUUGGUUGGUUGAUGGAUGAUUUGGUUGGUUGAUUGAUGUAUUGGUUGGUUGAUUGAUGUGUUCGUUUGUUGGUUGAUGUAUUGGUUGAUGUAUUGGUUGGUUUAUUGAUGUAUUAAUUGAUGUGUUGAUUGAUGCAUUGGUUGGUUGAUUGAUGUAUUGGUUGAUGUAUUGGUGGGUUGAUGUGUUGAUUGGU
Molecule: long non-coding RNA, 2542 nt
Filed under: Salmo salar (Atlantic salmon)
Lineage: Eukaryota; Metazoa; Chordata; Actinopteri; Salmoniformes; Salmonidae
Description: lncRNA (ENSSSAG00000092746.1)
Source: RNAcentral